GCCAGCCAGGGGCCUUGCCGGGGCACAUUCAUCUGGUCCGUUAAAUUCGCCAGCUACAGUGUGGUUUCACCCCCGCUUUUCAUUACAGCCAUUGGAUGUUGUCAUUUCUUUUUUCACUUGUUGCUCCUCUGGAUAUGUCUAUGCCGAGUGGGACCAGGCGCGCGUGGGGCCGACGAAUGGAGACAGCGCAGGUGCCCGCUUAUGUCGUCUUUCUUCGUCUUCUUUUUACUGUGUGGGGCGACUGCGGGUGAAACCCUGGAUCGGAGAAAAUAUCCCAAACCACUCCCCCAAUCAGUGGCGUCCUCUCGUCCCCAAUCCGCCGCCCUCCUCUCCUCACCCAAUCUCCACCUCGUGUCCCCUCUCCUCUUCUUCUUCCCCAAUCCAAUGGCGGCAGAGGUGGGCGGACUUGGCGAGCGGUAGGAGCGGAAGCAACUUGUGGCGCAUCUGGAGGAACUCCGGGAGCUCUGAUGGCGGCGGCGGUCGGACUGGACUGUGGCGGCAGCGAGCAGACGGGAACGGCUGGUCGUCUCGUGGACGGCGGCGGUGGACUGCCGAUGGCUGCAGCGGGCUUAUUCGUCCAGCAGAUUCAGCCACAGGGAAAGCAAUCCCCAUUGGUACUCGUGAACUCCAUGGCUACCAUAGGUUUGCGUUUGGGUGGCCCAAGAUUUCUACGAUGUUGAUAACGACCAACAUCGGUGCAGGAGGAUUUAGUGCUUAUCUCUCAUGAUAAUUGUUCACUCCAGUUAUGAAGUUUCCAUAUUUAGAGGGCUGACUCAUGGUGCUAGAUGCCACUUUUGUUUAUAUCAUUUGCCUCAUCGUCAUUUCUGUAAGUAUGUCCUCAACAAUCUCUAUUGUCAAAUGCUCUUAGAGGAUCUAUGUACUUAUUACUGGGUUUCAGUCACGAGUCUAAUAAAAAAACAUAAGAGUAGUGUAGUCAAUCUAUUCUUGCUGCAUAUUUGUUUGUUGCUUAUAUGGUUUCUAUUCAUAAAAGUAGUGUA
Lolium perenne is the source of this 998-nucleotide long non-coding RNA. RefSeq lists it as uncharacterized. The record is from RefSeq and is a predicted model, not a curated record. Lineage: Eukaryota; Viridiplantae; Streptophyta; Magnoliopsida; Poales; Poaceae.